RNAcentral lists this unclassified non-coding RNA (201 nucleotides) under Hevea brasiliensis (rubber tree). The record is from RNAcentral. Lineage: Eukaryota; Viridiplantae; Streptophyta; Magnoliopsida; Malpighiales; Euphorbiaceae.
UUGCUGGACUGGCUAUCUGAAAAUUUAUCAGUAUCUCUUGACUCCUGUAACAAGGCUCUUAUGUGAUGUUUCGCAGCUAAGGUGGAUCGGUCACCAUCCAUAACCACUGCAGUUCUUAUUUUUUGCAAUGGUUCUUUCUCAAUCAACAGCUGCGCUGAUUCAAGUAGUAAGAGUUGACCCUUCCCAGCGUUUAUACUGCUG